GCCGGGCGUGGUGGUGCAUGCCUGUAGUCCCAGCUACUUGGGAGGCUGAGGCAGGAGAAUCCCUUGAGCCCAGGAGUUAGAGGCUGCAGUGAGCUAUGAUCAUGCCACUGCUCUCCAGCCUGGGGCACAGAGUGAGACCCUGUCUCUA
Macaca fascicularis (crab-eating macaque) is the source of this 148-nucleotide unclassified non-coding RNA. It matches the Rfam family "Metazoan signal recognition particle RNA". Rfam says of the family: The signal recognition particle (SRP) is a universally conserved ribonucleoprotein. It is involved in the co-translational targeting of proteins to membranes. NCBI's taxonomy places the organism in Eukaryota, Metazoa, Chordata, Mammalia, Primates, Cercopithecidae. The record is from Ensembl.